Molecule: ribosomal RNA, 253 nt
Filed under: uncultured bacterium
Lineage: Bacteria
Description: partial 16S ribosomal RNA
Rfam family: Bacterial small subunit ribosomal RNA
Source: RNAcentral
GACAGAGGUGCCGAGCGUUAGGCGGAAUCACUGGGCUUAAAGCGUGUGUAGGCGGACCGUUAAGUACCUUGUGAAAUCCCACGGCUCAACCGUGGAACGGCUGGGUAUACUGGCGGUCUUGGGCAACCCAGGGGCUGUCGGAACAAGCGGUGGAGCGGUGAAAUGCGUAGAUAUCGCUUGGAACGCCGGCGGUGAAAACGGACAGCUGGGGGUUUGCCGACGCUGAGACACGAAAGCCAGGGGAGCGAACGGG